UACGGAGGGGGUNAGCGUUGUUCGGAAUUACUGGGCGUAAAGCGCGCGUAGGCGGAUUAGAAAGUUGGGGGUGAAAUNCNGGGGCUCAACCCNGGAACUGCGUCCNAAACUGCUAGUCUAGAGUUCGAGAGAGGNGAGUGGAAUUCCGAGUGUAGNGGUGAAAUUCGUAGAUAUUCGGAGGAACACCAGUGGCGAAGGCGGCUCACUGGCUCGANACUGACGCUGAGGNGCGAAAGUGUGGGGAGCAAACAGG
RNAcentral lists this ribosomal RNA (253 nucleotides) under uncultured bacterium. Its description in RNAcentral is "partial 16S ribosomal RNA". It matches the Rfam family "Bacterial small subunit ribosomal RNA", at positions 524 to 776 of the family's 1533-position model. The record is from RNAcentral.